CCAAAAAUCAAGGGCGGGAUGGGAUUCACGGACUUCCAUUGUUUUAACUUAGCAAUGGUCAGUAAACAUGGUUGGCGCUUGUUGACUACUUCGGAGUUCCUUUGUGUUAGAGUGUUGCAGGGUAAAUAUUUCCCCCACUCGAAUUUUCUUCAUGCCACGGCUCCACCGCAUGCGUCGACAACUUGGAAGACCAUCAUGGCUGGAAAGAAGGCAAUGUAG
Molecule: ribosomal RNA, 219 nt
Filed under: Triticum aestivum (bread wheat)
Lineage: Eukaryota; Viridiplantae; Streptophyta; Magnoliopsida; Poales; Poaceae
Description: partial small subunit ribosomal RNA
Source: RNAcentral